AGCAGCCGCGGUAAUUCCAGCUCCAAUAGCGUAUAUUAAAGUUGUUGCAGUUAAAAAGCUCGUAGUUGAAUUUCGGGGUUAGUAGGUUGGUCAUGCCUCUGGUAUGUACUGGUCUCACUGAUUCCUCCUUCCUGAUGAGCCGUAAUGCCAUUAAUUUGGUGUUGCGGGGAAUUUGGACUAGUUACUUUGAAAAAAUUUAGAGUGUUUAAAGCAGGCUCACGCUUGAAUACAUUAGCAUGGAAUAAUGAAAUAGGACGUUUUGAUUCUAUUUUGUUGGUUUCUAGGAUCGACGUAAUGAUUAAUAGGGAUAGUUGGGGGCAUUAGUAUUCAAUUGUCAGAGGUGAGAUUCUUGGAUUUAUUGAAGACUAACUACUGCGAAAGCAUUUGCCAAGGAUGUUUUCAUUAAUCAAGAACGAAAGUUAGGGGAUCGAAGACGAUCAGAUACCGUCGUAGUCUUAACCAUAAACUAUGCCGACUAGGAAUCGGAUGAUGUAAUUUUUAAUGACUCAUUC
RNAcentral lists this ribosomal RNA (512 nucleotides) under uncultured Glomus. RNAcentral's name for it is "SSU rRNA". It matches the Rfam family "Eukaryotic small subunit ribosomal RNA", at positions 569 to 1081 of the family's 1831-position model. The record is from RNAcentral. Lineage: Eukaryota; Fungi; Glomeromycota; Glomeromycetes; Glomerales; Glomeraceae.